GACUGCAGGCUGCAACUCGCCUGCACGAAGUCGGAAUUGCUAGUAAUCGUAGGUCAGCAUACUACGGUGAAUACGUUCCCGGGCCUUGUACACACCGCCCGUCACACCAUGGGAGCCGGUAAUACCCGAAGUCAGUAGCCUAACCGCAAGGGGGGCGCUGCCGAAGGUAGGAUUGGCGACUGGGGUGAAGUCGUAACAAGGUACC
RNAcentral lists this ribosomal RNA (205 nucleotides) under uncultured bacterium. RNAcentral describes it as "partial 16S ribosomal RNA". It matches the Rfam family "Bacterial small subunit ribosomal RNA", at positions 1296 to 1500 of the family's 1533-position model. The record is from RNAcentral.